RNAcentral lists this ribosomal RNA (460 nucleotides) under uncultured bacterium. RNAcentral's name for it is "partial 16S ribosomal RNA". It matches the Rfam family "Bacterial small subunit ribosomal RNA", at positions 338 to 795 of the family's 1533-position model. The record is from RNAcentral.
CCUACGGGUGGCAGCAGUGAGGAAUAUUGGUCAAUGGGCGUAAGCCUGAUCCAGCCAAGUCGCGUGCGGGAUGAAGGUUCUAUGGAUCGUAAAUCUCUUUUAUAAGGGAAUACAGUGUGGGACGUGUCCUGUUUUGUAUGUACCUUAUGAAUAAGGAUCGGCUAACUCCGUUCCAGCAGCCGCGGGAAUGCGGUGGAUCCGAACGUUAUCCGGAUUUGUUGGGUUUAAAGGGAGCGUUGGGGGCCUUGUAAGUCAGGGGUGAAAUUCUGUGGCCCAACCAUAGAAUUGCCGUUGAAACUGGGAGACUUGAGUAUGUUAGAGGCAAGCGGAAUGCGUGGUGUAGCGGUGAAAUGCUUAGAUAUCACGCAGAACCCCGAUGGCGAAGGCAGCCUGCCAGGCCAUGACUGACGCUGAUGCACGAAAGCGUGGGGAGCAAACAGGAUUAGAUACCCGGGUAGUC